Long non-coding RNA from Photinus pyralis (common eastern firefly), 783 nucleotides. RefSeq lists it as uncharacterized. The transcript is spliced from 3 exons. Lineage: Eukaryota; Metazoa; Arthropoda; Insecta; Coleoptera; Lampyridae. The record is from RefSeq and is a predicted model, not a curated record.
AUUAAAUUGUACGUACCUAUCUUGAAUACUGACUACUACGUACAUCAUUUUGCACGUUUCGUGGAAACAGGUGAACAGUCAUUAAAACAUCUUGUGAUUAGGUCCCCAAACACCUAAAGAGAAAAACGUGUUAUAAACAUCCCUAAAUUCUCUGUUAUUCGAAACAGUAUCUCAUCUUCAAGAAAUCCGCUUCUUACGGCGAACGGAAGACCCCAUAAUAAAUGAAAAGUGAGAUGAAAAGUACACCCAGGUAAAGGAGAACGAAAACGUUUUGAAACAAGCAUCAUAGAGUGGAAUCGGCCAACUCUUUAUACUUUAUAGAAUUAAACGAAAAAGAAAAUAGCUUACGUACAAACCUAAAUAAUAAAUUUAUUCUGUUAAGGAUUUAGGGGAUAGAUGGCAACAAAUAUUUCGACCAAAUGCAACAAGUUCGCAUAUAUUAUGUAUUUAAUGAGCCAGGGGAGAACAGUUGUCUGUGUAUCAUAAUACUAUGCGAUCAAAAAUGCGUUGCUGUCCAGUUACCUUUGGAAUUUUUGUUUUCAUGGGAAAUCGUACUUAACUUGAACUUCCAAAGGCGACUCGACAGCAACUCAUUUUUGAUCACCCGUACUAAAAUCUACAAUAGUAUGAUAUGCUCACGCGCAUUCCCGCGCUUCUAACUGAUAUUUAGACAUAGGGAUUUAUGUGUAUUGUUUUUCCAUAUGUCUACUUUUAAAUGGCAAAAUCUCUUCUGAAAGGUACCUAAUUUUAUGCAUCCAAAAUACUAUUUUUAAAACAAAUAGA